This 604-nucleotide unclassified non-coding RNA is filed under the name Talaromyces subaurantiacus. RNAcentral describes it as "sequence contains 18S rRNA gene, ITS1, 5.8S rRNA gene, ITS2, 28S rRNA gene". The stretch from base 225 to 378 matches the Rfam family "5.8S ribosomal RNA". Lineage: Eukaryota; Fungi; Ascomycota; Eurotiomycetes; Eurotiales; Trichocomaceae. The record is from RNAcentral.
UCGUAACAAGGUUUCCGUAGGUGAACCUGCGGAAGGAUCAUUACCGAGUGCGGGUUCUAACGAGCCCAACCUCCCACCCGUGUUUACUGUUACCGCGUUGCUUCGGCGGGCCCACUGGGGCCUGGCCCCGGUCGCCGGGGGGCUUCUGCCCCCGGGUCCGCGCCCGCCGAAGCGCCCUGGAACCCUGUCUGAAUAGUGAGUCUGAGUGGAUAUUGAAUCAUUAAAACUUUCAACAACGGAUCUCUUGGUUCCGGCAUCGAUGAAGAACGCAGCGAAAUGCGAUAAGUAAUGUGAAUUGCAGAAUUCCGUGAAUCAUCGAAUCUUUGAACGCACAUUGCGCCCCCUGGCAUUCCGGGGGGCAUGCCUGUCCGAGCGUCAUUUCUGCCCUCCAGCACGGCUGGGUGUUGGGUGCUGUCCCCCCGGGGACACGCCCCAAAAGCAGUGGCGGCGCCGCGUCGGGUCCUCGAGCGUAUGGGGCUCUGUCACCCGCUCGGGAGGGACUCGGUCGGCGCUGGUCUUCCUCCAGGCGACCCUUCGGGGCUCGUCUCCUCCGGUUGACCUCGGAUCAGGUAGGGCUACCCGCUGAACUUAAGCAUAUCAAUAA